RNAcentral lists this ribosomal RNA (397 nucleotides) under uncultured bacterium. Its description in RNAcentral is "bacterial SSU rRNA". It matches the Rfam family "Bacterial small subunit ribosomal RNA", at positions 362 to 776 of the family's 1533-position model. The record is from RNAcentral.
UAUUGGACAAUGGGCGCAAGCCUGAUCCAGCAAUGCCGCGUGAGUGAUGAAGGCCUUAGGGUUGUAAAGCUCUUUUACCCGGGAUGAUAAUGACAGUACCGGGAGAAUAAGCUCCGGCUAACUCCGUGCCAGCAGCCGCGGUAAUACGGAGGGAGCUAGCGUUGUUCGGAAUUACUGGGCGUAAAGCGAACGUAGGCGGCUUUGUAAGUUAGGGGUGAAAGCCUGGAGCUCAACUCCAGAAUUGCCUUUAAGACUGCAUCGCUUGAAUCCGGGAGAGGUAAGUGGAAUUCCGAGUGUAGAGGUGAAAUUCGUAGAUAUUCGGAAGAACACCAGUGGCGAAGGCGGCUCACUGGACCGGUAUUGACGCUGAGGUGCGAAAGCGUGGGGAGCAAACAGG